GCCCUUCUCUAAGGAAUAGCCUCUGGAAACGGAGAGUAAUACCUUAUACGCCCUAUGGGGAAAGAUUUAUCGGAGAGGGAUCGGCCCGCGUUAGAUUAGGUAGUUGGUGGGGUAAUGGCCUACCAAGCCUACGAUCUAUAGCUGGUUUUAGAGGAUGAUCAGCAACACUGGGACUGAGACACGGCCCAGACUCCUACGGGAGGCAGCAGUGGGGAAUCUUAGACAAUGGGGGAAACCCUGAUCUAGCCAUGCCGCGUGAGUGACGAAGGCCCUAGGGUCGUAAAGCUCUUUCGCCAGGGAUGAUAAUGACAGUACCUGGUAAAGAAACCCCGGCUAACUCCGUGCCAGCAGCCGCGGUAAUACGGAGGGGGUUAGCGUUGUUCGGAAUUACUGGGCGUAAAGCGCGCGUAGGGGACUAUUAAGUCAGGGGUGAAAUCCCGGGGCUCAACCCCGAACUGCCUCUGAUACUGGUAGUCUUGAGUUCGAGAGAGGUGAGUGGAAUUCCGAGUGUAGAGGUGAAAUUCGUAGAUAUUCGGAGGAACACCAGUGGCGAA
This 554-nucleotide ribosomal RNA is filed under the name uncultured bacterium. RNAcentral's name for it is "bacterial SSU rRNA". It matches the Rfam family "Bacterial small subunit ribosomal RNA", at positions 128 to 719 of the family's 1533-position model. The record is from RNAcentral.